RNAcentral lists this ribosomal RNA (1951 nucleotides) under Escherichia coli. RNAcentral's name for it is "bacterial LSU rRNA". It matches the Rfam family "Bacterial large subunit ribosomal RNA", at positions 996 to 2925 of the family's 2925-position model. The record is from RNAcentral. Lineage: Bacteria; Pseudomonadati; Pseudomonadota; Gammaproteobacteria; Enterobacterales; Enterobacteriaceae.
UGCUAACGUCCGUCGUGAAGAGGGAAACAACCCAGACCGCCAGCUAAGGUCCCAAAGUCAUGGUUAAGUGGGAAACGAUGUGGGAAGGCCCAGACAGCCAGGAUGUUGGCUUAGAAGCAGCCAUCAUUUAAAGAAAGCGUAAUAGCUCACUGGUCGAGUCGGCCUGCGCGGAAGAUGUAACGGGGCUAAACCAUGCACCGAAGCUGCGGCAGCGACACUAUGUGUUGUUGGGUAGGGGAGCGUUCUGUAAGCCUGUGAAGGUGUACUGUGAGGUAUGCUGGAGGUAUCAGAAGUGCGAAUGCUGACAUAAGUAACGAUAAAGCGGGUGAAAAGCCCGCUCGCCGGAAGACCAAGGGUUCCUGUCCAACGUUAAUCGGGGCAGGGUGAGUCGACCCCUAAGGCGAGGCCGAAAGGCGUAGUCGAUGGGAAACAGGUUAAUAUUCCUGUACUUGGUGUUACUGCGAAGGGGGGACGGAGAAGGCUAUGUUGGCCGGGCGACGGUUGUCCCGGUUUAAGCGUGUAGGCUGGUUUUCCAGGCAAAUCCGGAAAAUCAAGGCUGAGGCGUGAUGACGAGGCACUACGGUGCUGAAGCAACAAAUGCCCUGCUUCCAGGAAAAGCCUCUAAGCAUCAGGUAACAUCAAAUCGUACCCCAAACCGACACAGGUGGUCAGGUAGAGAAUACCAAGGCGCUUGAGAGAACUCGGGUGAAGGAACUAGGCAAAAUGGUGCCGUAACUUCGGGAGAAGGCACGCUGAUAUGUAGGUGAAGUCCCUCGCGGAUGGAGCUGAAAUCAGUCGAAGAUACCAGCUGGCUGCAACUGUUUAUUAAAAACACAGCACUGUGCAAACACGAAAGUGGACGUAUACGGUGUGACGCCUGCCCGGUGCCGGAAGGUUAAUUGAUGGGGUUAGCGGUAACGCGAAGCUCUUGAUCGAAGCCCCGGUAAACGGCGGCCGUAACUAUAACGGUCCUAAGGUAGCGAAAUUCCUUGUCGGGUAAGUUCCGACCUGCACGAAUGGCGUAAUGAUGGCCAGGCUGUCUCCACCCGAGACUCAGUGAAAUUGAACUCGCUGUGAAGAUGCAGUGUACCCGCGGCAAGACGGAAAGACCCCGUGAACCUUUACUAUAGCUUGACACUGAACAUUGAGCCUUGAUGUGUAGGAUAGGUGGGAGGCUUUGAAGUGUGGACGCCAGUCUGCAUGGAGCCGGCCUUGAAAUACCACCCUUUAAUGUUUGAUGUUCUAACGUUGGCCCCUGAUCGGGGUUGCGGACAGUGUCUGGUGGGUAGUUUGACUGGGGCGGUCUCCUCCUAAAGAGUAACGGAGGAGCACGAAGGUUGGCUAAUCCUGGUCGGACAUCAGGAGGUUAGUGCAAUGGCAUAAGCCAGCUUGACUGCGAGCGUGACGGCGCGAGCAGGUGCGAAAGCAGGUCAUAGUGAUCCGGUGGUUCUGAAUGGAAGGGCCAUCGCUCAACGGAUAAAAGGUACUCCGGGGAUAACAGGCUGAUACCGCCCAAGAGUUCAUAUCGACGGCGGUGUUUGGCACCUCGAUGUCGGCUCAUCACAUCCUGGGGCUGAAGUAGGUCCCAAGGGUAUGGCUGUUCGCCAUUUAAAGUGGUACGCGAGCUGGGUUUAGAACGUCGUGAGACAGUUCGGUCCCUAUCUGCCGUGGGCGCUGGAGAACUGAGGGGGGCUGCUCCUAGUACGAGAGGACCGGAGUGGACGCAUCACUGGUGUUCGGGUUGUCAUGCCAAUGGCACUGCCCGGUAGCUAAAUGCGGAAGAGAUAAGUGCUGAAAGCAUCUAAGCACGAAACUUGCCCCGAGAUGAGUUCUCCCUGACUCUUUAAGGGUCCUGAAGGAACGUUGAAGACGACGACGUUGAUAGGCCGGGUGUGUAAGCGCAGCGAUGCGUUGAGCUAACCGGUACUAAUGAACCGUGAGGCUUAACCUU